This 229-nucleotide ribosomal RNA is filed under the name uncultured bacterium. RNAcentral describes it as "partial 16S ribosomal RNA". It matches the Rfam family "Bacterial small subunit ribosomal RNA", at positions 15 to 235 of the family's 1533-position model. The record is from RNAcentral.
GAUCAUGGCUCAGGAUGAACGCUAGCUACAGGCUUAACACAUGCAAGUCGAGGGGCAGCAUGGUCUUAGCUUGCUAAGGCCGAUGGCGACCGGCGCAUGGGUGAGUAACGCGUAUUCAACCUGCCUUACACUCUUGGACAGCCUUCUGAAAGGGAGAUUAAUACAAGAUGUUAUCAUGAGUAAGCAUUUUCACAUGAUUAAAGGUUUACCGGUGUAAGAUGGGGAUGCG